AAGUAAAACUGACCUUGUGGUCUUCUUGCACAGGGAGAACAAUGAACGCUAGUUCUGAAAAAUUGGAAGACUACUAUUAUAUAUUUGGGUCCUGCUCUUACAUUAUAAAUCACUAAAUAGUUUGGACCCAAUGUUAUGUAGCCAUUUCUUGUGCCUUUGGGAGCAAUUUAUGUGCUAGGUUCGCCUACAAUCUGCCUUUUACUGUACUUUAAUCAGCAGGCUAGACAUAUGGGAAAGAAGGGUAGGUAGUGUGGCAUCUGCCAGGCUGUGCUCCAACAGAGAAGAACAGCUAUGGAGUCCACAAGGAACAGCCAGUGGAAGUCUUCAAUGUCUGCCCAUUGGGAAAACAGCCACACUCUAUCUAAUGGCAGAGCCAGUCCUGUUAUGAGUUUGAGUGCUGCACAGCUACAGGCUGCUCAGAUGGGUUUCUAACUAUGUGAGGGAGAAAUUGGACUGAACUAGUGGGUAGAUACAGAUAGGCAGGGGUUGCGGAGAAGAUGCUUCUUUCAAAUCCACUUGGAGUUAAGCUGACUUGUGCUAUGCAGUGAAGCACUUCAAGCUUCGUGAACCUGUUUGUGCCUUAGCAGCAUCUGUCAUGAAUGAAUUUAAUGAAUGGUAAAGCUCUAGAAGAAUGUAUUCAGAUAAGCCUUGGAACACGAACAGAGCGUCUCCUUGGGAUGAGCAGUGUGUCGAUUUUGAAGCUGCUUUCAUAAUCAGUGUUCAUGCCAGCCCAGAGCCAAUGGCAAAGAAGCUGAAAUCAGAAGCAUCACAAUGUGAGAUCACACCAGCUGUGGAGGAUGCUGCCAUCUGGACAAGCCCUAAUUACUCUGUUUAAAGGAUGAGGCAUGCCUAAUCGAAAAAGGAUCAGAUCUGCUUCUCCACUCGUUUUUCUGAACAUGAACUGGGUGAUGAAAUGCUGCUAGUGACCUGCAGUUGGAUCUUUAGUGUACAACCUUAUACUCCAAUUGGAAAAGACACAGCUGCACUCUGCCUAGAUGUUUUUGAUUAUCAUAAGGCAUUUUCAGCUCAAAUGCCUGGAUUAUUACAGAUACAGUUAUGGAAUUAUGCAUUUAAUGCCUCCAGUUAUUAUAUAACAUAAGGUGAAAUUUUGAUUCCCUUCCCUUCUCCCUCUUGCCAUUUCAUCUCUUGUUCAUUUUUAUUUCCGGUGUAUUUUCUUUUCUUUUGUUAUUCAUCUUGGUCUUUAAUUCUCUCUGUUUUUAUUUUUCCUGUAUAUGUUAAAUAGGAAAAAAACUAUUUUUACUUAAGGAGCAUAUUUCUGAUUAGUAACAUUCAAAUGAAUGGCAGUUGAUGAAAUUAGAAGUGGAUACCUAAGAGAACAUAGAUGAUUUGUAAUCUUUACAACUAAGGUGAGAAUUUCAUCUGGUUGUCCCAAUCAGAGUAGAUCCACUUAAUCAGUGGGAUUUGCUUAGGUGUCAAAGCACCAUUCAGCAAUUGGGUCUACUCCACUGGAUUUAUAAUUUGAUCUAACAGCUUGGAUUUUGGCCUGAAUA
Molecule: long non-coding RNA, 1511 nt
Filed under: Pogona vitticeps (central bearded dragon)
Lineage: Eukaryota; Metazoa; Chordata; Lepidosauria; Squamata; Agamidae
Description: lncRNA (ENSPVIG00000001545.1)
Source: RNAcentral